This 387-nucleotide ribosomal RNA is filed under the name uncultured bacterium. Its description in RNAcentral is "bacterial SSU rRNA". It matches the Rfam family "Bacterial small subunit ribosomal RNA", at positions 28 to 416 of the family's 1533-position model. The record is from RNAcentral.
GACGAACGCUGGCGGCGUGCUUAACACAUGCAAGUCGAGCGGUAAGGCCCUUUCGGGGGUACACGAGCGGCGAACGGGUGGGUAACACGUGGGUGACCUGCCCUCAGCUCUGGGAUAAGCCCGGGAAACUGGGUCUAAUACCGGAUAUGACUUCAUGACGCAUGUUGUGGAGUGGAAAGCCUUGUGCGGCUGAGGAUGGGCCCGCGGCCUAUCAGCUUGUUGGUGGGGUGAUGGCCUACCAAGGCGACGACGGGUAGCCGGCCUGAGAGGGCGACCGGCCACACUGGGACUGAGACACGGCCCAGACUCCUACGGGAGGCAGCAGUGGGGAAUAUUGGACAAUGGGCGCAAGCCUGAUCCAGCCAUGCCGCGUGAGUGAUGAAGGCC